Cinara cedri is the source of this 205-nucleotide non-coding RNA. The record is from the annotation of a GenBank genome assembly. NCBI's taxonomy places the organism in Eukaryota, Metazoa, Arthropoda, Insecta, Hemiptera, Aphididae.
UAAUAUCAAAAUUAUUGAAAAAUUGAAAUUGUAUUAGUAUUAUUAUCAUAAUAAUUAAUAUAAGUAGGUAUUGUAUUAAUAUUAUUAAUCUUGUUUUGUGGCACUUACAAAAUUUAACUUAUUUAAUGUUUUAAAGGAAUACAAGAAAAAAUCUAAGUAUUUCACUUGCUAAAAAGUGUUUAAAAAAAAUAUAUAUAUACAUAUA